This 253-nucleotide ribosomal RNA is filed under the name uncultured bacterium. Its description in RNAcentral is "partial 16S ribosomal RNA". It matches the Rfam family "Bacterial small subunit ribosomal RNA", at positions 524 to 776 of the family's 1533-position model. The record is from RNAcentral.
UACGUAGGGGGCAAGCGUUGUCCGGGUUUACUGGGCGUAAAGAGCGUGUAGGCGGCCACGCAGGUCCGUUGUGAAAACUGGAGGCUCAACCUCCAGCUGUCGACGGAAACCGUAUGGCUAGAGUCCGGAAGAGGAGAGUGGAAUUCCUGGUGUAGCGGUGAAAUGCGCAGAUAUCAGGAAGAACACCAAUGGCGAAGGCAGCUCUCUGGGACGGUACUGACGCUGAGACGCGAAAGCGUGGGGAGCGAACAGG